Molecule: unclassified non-coding RNA, 345 nt
Filed under: soil metagenome
Description: partial contains 5.8S ribosomal RNA, internal transcribed spacer 2, and large subunit ribosomal RNA
Rfam family: 5.8S ribosomal RNA (bases 1-120)
Source: RNAcentral
GAUGAAGAACGUAGCGAAAUGCGAUAAGUAAUGUGAAUUGCAGAAUUCAGUGAAUCAUUGAGUCUUUGAACGCACAUUGCGCCCCCUGGUAUUCCGGGGGGCAUGCCUGUCCGAGCGUCAUUGCUGCCCUCAAGCACGGCUUGUGUGUUGGGCCUCCGUCCUCCUCCCGGGGGACGGGCCCGAAAGGCAGCGGCGGCACCGCGUCCGGUCCUCGAGCGUAUGGGGCUUCGUCACCCGCUCUUGUAGGCCCGGCCGGCGCUUGCCGACACAUCAAUCUUUUUUCCAGGUUGACCUCGGAUCAGGUAGGGAUACCCGCUGAACUUAAGCAUAUCAAUAAGCGGAGGA